CCUACGGGGGCUGCAGUGGGGAAUAUUGGACAAUGGGCGAAAGCCUGAUCCAGCCAUGCCGCGUGUGUGAAGAAGGCCUUCGGGUUGUAAAGCACUUUCAGUGGGGAAGAAAGCCUUGGGGCUAAUACCCUCGAGGAAGGACAUCACCCACAGAAGAAGCACCGGCUAACUCCGUGCCAGCAGCCGCGGUAAUACGGAGGGUGCGAGCGUUAAUCGGAAUUACUGGGCGUAAAGCGCGCGUAGGCGGUCUGAUAAGCCGGUUGUGAAAGCCCCGGGCUCAACCUGGGAACGGCAUCCGGAACUGUCAGGCUAGAGUGCAGGAGAGGAAGGUAGAAUUCCCGGUGUAGCGGUGAAAUGCGUAGAGAUCGGGAGGAAUACCAGUGGCGAAGGCGGCCUUCUGGACUGACACUGACGCUGAGGUGCGAAAGCGUGGGUAGCAAACAGGAUUAGAUACCCGUGUAGU
RNAcentral lists this ribosomal RNA (463 nucleotides) under Vreelandella stevensii. RNAcentral's name for it is "partial 16S ribosomal RNA". It matches the Rfam family "Bacterial small subunit ribosomal RNA", at positions 338 to 794 of the family's 1533-position model. Lineage: Bacteria; Pseudomonadati; Pseudomonadota; Gammaproteobacteria; Oceanospirillales; Halomonadaceae. The record is from RNAcentral.